UACGGAGGGUGCAAGCGUUGUUCGGAUUCACUGGGUAUAAAGGGUGCGUAGGCGGCGCGAUAAGUCAGGGGUGAAAUAUGUCGGCUCAACCGACAAACUGCCUCUGAAACUGCCGCGCUUGAGGUCGGGAGAGGAAGGUGGAAUUCCAGGUGUAGCGGUGAAAUGCGUAAAUAUCUGGAGGAACACCAAUGGCGAAGGCAGCCUUCUGGCCCGAUUCUGACGCUGAGGCACGAAAGCUAGGGGAGCAAACGGGAUUAGAUACCCCGGUAGUCCUAGCCGUAAACGAUGGGCACUAGGUGUUGGAGGAGUCUACCCCUUCAGUGCCGCAGCUAAUGCAUUAAGUGCCCCACCUGGGGAGUACGAUCGCAAGGUUGAA
RNAcentral lists this ribosomal RNA (376 nucleotides) under uncultured bacterium. RNAcentral describes it as "bacterial SSU rRNA". It matches the Rfam family "Bacterial small subunit ribosomal RNA", at positions 524 to 898 of the family's 1533-position model. The record is from RNAcentral.